UGCACAACCCAGGAAUGUACAGCCCAAUAAUUGGCGUCCAUCAUGGACGCCAAUUAUUGGGCUGUACAUUCCUGGGUUGAGCAUUCUCGGGCUGUGCAAGUUUGGUCCGGGGCGAUAAUACGAAGCCACUCUUUUCACAGGGCAAUAAUGUACGACCCUAUAAUUCGCGUCCACUAAUCUGAGUCCCUUGGCUUUCAAUUAUCGGGCUGCGCAUUAUUGGUACGGGUCGAGAAUGCUCGACCCAAUAAUGUACAUCCACCAACCAAUCAUACCAUCAAUCAUACCAAUAAUUGGAAGCCAAAAACCAGAGACAUUUUUUUUUUUAAGACAGCUGUCAAAAUUAGUAGGGACGUUCUGACAUGAGCUCUUGACAGUUUAAAAAUAAUCGGUUUUUUCUAGUGACAUCUUUCAAUGACAUUGACAGUGUUGACACUUGUUGGUUUACUUUACGCUUUGUUAUCAUCUUUUUAUUUUUAAGGUAUGGUUUUCAAAAGCUCUAAUAUUUGUAAUGUAUGCAUGAAAUCAUAUGGCAAGAGAACCUAAAUCGUUUUGGAACUAUAUGAACUCUAAAAGAAACAGUAGAGACUACAUGAGGGAAAGACAGCAGUAUGUAGAUUAUGAAGAGCACAGAUUGAAUCCAGCAGUGACAUGGGCCAUUUGUUCAAUAGAAUAUCUUGGUUAUAUGGAGAUUGGCUGAGAAAGCGAGGUGUAUGCUACAAGGUGCAUGUUUCUGCAAAAUAUAUUAGGGAGCUGAUACGGGCAGCCAGAAUGAGUCUGCUGAGUCGCCGGCGCCGGACGCGCGCCUCGGGCGUCUGACGUCUUCGUGUCUGUUGCCAGUUGCAGAGGAAGAUGCGAAUAGUUAUAAAGGCGUGCAUGACGUCUCUAAAGAAUGAUAGAUACAAUACUCAUCUUGUUCCCCGAGGCAUCCACCAGCUUCCAGCAGCAGUGGGAGCAGCACGCCCUGCCCCCGCUGCGCCCCCUGCACCUCUGCCUACACCCCGCACUCCGUGCCUGCCGUGUCUCCCUCCAACCUCCAGCUUCCAGCAGCAGUGGGAGCAGCACAACAUUUUUAUCAACAUUCUUAUACUCCUCAAAUACCUACAUAUAGUGAUUUUUGUAUUUUAUAAAACAAAUCAAGCCUUUACAUUAAAAAAAGUGAUAUUUGAUGAAGUGGAACUGCUGAUGCUGAUCAGAAUGGAACUCUUCAGCGACGCAUAGUUCCCGCUUAGCGAUUUGUCGUCUUCGUUAUGUUUGUUAGGCAAUUAGGCAAAAAAUUUACAAUAUGAAUUGUAAUGUAAGGUUUAAAGCAAUAAAGAUUUAUUUAUUAUUAUUAUUAUUUUAUUAAUUUAGGUUUUCAAGAUACAUUUUUGUCAAGCUCGAGAUCUGAUGGUAGAAUCUAUGAGGAAUUGAGGAAACUCCUCAAAUGUUAAAGGCAUAUUGAUGUGUAUACAUACGAUGUAGGUACAUACAUCGUAUGUAUAGAUGCAUAAACUAGUGCGCUUGCGCCUAAAACCUUGUCAAACCACUCUUGUUCAGUAUUAAAUCAGCAAUAGCAAUAAA
Cydia pomonella (codling moth) is the source of this 1560-nucleotide long non-coding RNA. RefSeq lists it as uncharacterized. NCBI's taxonomy places the organism in Eukaryota, Metazoa, Arthropoda, Insecta, Lepidoptera, Tortricidae. The record is from RefSeq and is a predicted model, not a curated record. The transcript is spliced from 4 exons.